CCUACGGGAGGCAGCAGUGGGGAAUAUUGGACAAUGGGGGCAACCCUGAUCCAGCCAUGCCGCGUGUGUGAAGAAGGCCUUCGGGUUGUAAAGCACUUUCAGUGGUGAGGAAGGGUGUUGUGUUAAUAGCGCAGCACAUUGACGUUAGCCACAGAAGAAGCACCGGCUAACUCCGUGCCAGCAGCCGCGGUAAUACGGAGGGUGCGAGCGUUAAUCGGAAUUACUGGGCGUAAAGCGCACGUAGGCGGUUUGUUAAGCUAGAUGUGAAAGCCCCGGGCUUAACCUGGGAAUAGCAUUUAGAACUGGCAGGCUAGAGUUUUGAAGAGGGUGGUAGAAUUUCCUGUGUAGCGGUGAAAUGCGUAGAUAUAGGAAGGAAUACCAGUGGCGAAGGCGGCCACCUGGUCAAAAACUGACGCUGAGGAGCGAAAGCGUGGGGAGCA
Molecule: ribosomal RNA, 440 nt
Filed under: uncultured bacterium
Lineage: Bacteria
Description: bacterial SSU rRNA
Rfam family: Bacterial small subunit ribosomal RNA
Source: RNAcentral